CAAAUCCCUCCUUGGCUACCCUGACUAGCAUGCCCAAUCAGAGCUUACCAGCUCAUCCUCGCUUACUCUAACACAGACUUCCCCUUUUCCCUUUGAAAUCACUCCUACAAAGCUAUUUGCUGCUAUGUCUGCCUGAUUCAGACACAGCCACCUUACCUCUUCACCUUGCUUAGUAAACAGUCUCGUGUUUAGGUACGAUCUGUGCCUAAUCCCGGGUCUAGAGGGGAACAACCCAUGAUGUGUGGGUCCCUCCAAAAAUUGAUAUACAACAUAAACACCCAAACUUAUGGGACACAAUGAAAGUGGUUCUUUAAAACAAAAAAAGAUUUAUUUAUUUUAUGUAUAUGAGUGCUCUAUGUACACUUGCCUGCCAGAAGAGGGCAUCAGAUCCCAUGACAGAUGGUUGUGAGCCACCAUGUGGUUGCUGGGAAUUGAACUCACAAGCUCUGAAAGAGCAGUCAGUGCUCUUAACCACUGAGCCAUUUCUCCAGGAAAAUGGUUCUAAGAGGCAAGUUCACAACACUGUCUACAUAAACAAAACAAAAACCAAACCAAAC
Molecule: long non-coding RNA, 557 nt
Filed under: Rattus norvegicus (Norway rat)
Lineage: Eukaryota; Metazoa; Chordata; Mammalia; Rodentia; Muridae
Description: long non-coding RNA NONRATT008991
Source: RNAcentral